Molecule: ribosomal RNA, 460 nt
Filed under: uncultured bacterium
Lineage: Bacteria
Description: partial 16S ribosomal RNA
Rfam family: Bacterial small subunit ribosomal RNA
Source: RNAcentral
CCUACGGGAGGCAGCAGUGAGGAAUAUUGGUCAAUGGGCGGAAGCCUGAACCAGCCAAGUCGCGUGAGGGAUUAAGGCCCUGCGGGUCGUAAACCUCUUUUGCCGGGGAGCAGUGGUCCGGACGAGUCCGGGCCGGGAGAGUACCCGGAGAAAAAGCAUCGGCUAACUCCGUGCCAGCAGCCGCGGUAAUACGGAGGAUGCGAGCGUUACCCGGAUUUAUUGGGUUUAAAGGGUGCGUAGGAGGGCAUUUAAGCCGGCGGUCAAAUGUCGGGGCUCAACCCCGGCCUGCCGUCGGAACUGGGUGCCUUGAGUGGGCGAGAAGUAUGCGGAAUGCGUGGUGUAGCGGUGAAAUGCAUAGAUAUCACGCAGAACCCCGAUUGCGAAGGCAGCAUACCGGCGCCCGACUGACGCUGAGGCACGAAAGUGCGGGUAUCGAACAGGAUUAGAUACCCGUGUAGUC